RNAcentral lists this ribosomal RNA (253 nucleotides) under uncultured bacterium. RNAcentral's name for it is "partial 16S ribosomal RNA". It matches the Rfam family "Bacterial small subunit ribosomal RNA", at positions 524 to 776 of the family's 1533-position model. The record is from RNAcentral.
UACGUAGGGGGCAAGCGUUGUCCGGAAUCAUUGGGCGUAAAGCGCGUGUAGGCGGCUAGGUAAGUCUGCUCUGAAAGCCCGGGGCUCAACCCCGGGAGGCGGGUGGAUACUGUCUAGCUCGAGUCCGGAAGAGGAGUGUGGAAUUCCUGGUGUAGCGGUGAAAUGCGCAGAUAUCGGGAGGAACACCUAUGGCGAAGGCAGCUCGCUGGGACGUUACUGACGCUGAGACGCGAAAGCGUGGGGAGCAAACAGG